GAUGAACGCUGACAGAAUGCUUAACACAUGCAAGUCAACUUGAAUUUGGGUUUUUAACUUAGGUUUGGGUGGCGGACGGGUGAGUAACGCGUAAAGAACUUGCCUCACAGCUAGGGACAACAUUUGGAAACGAAUGCUAAUACCUAAUAUUAUGAUAAUAGGGCAUCCUAUAAUUAUGAAAGCUAUAAGCGCCGUGAGAGAGCUUUGCGUCCCAUUAGCUAGUUGGAGAGGUAACGGCUCACCAAGGCGAUGAUGGGUAGCCGGCCUGAGAGGGUGAUCGGCCACAAGGGGACUGAGACACGGCCCUUACUCCUACGGGAGGCAGCAGUGGGGAAUAUUGGACAAUGGACCAAGAGUCUGAUCCAGCAAUUCUGUGUGCACGAUGAAGUUUUUCGGAAUGUAAAGUGCUUUCAGUUGGGAAGAAAGAAAUGACGGUACCAACAGAAGAAGUGACGGCUAAAUACGUG
RNAcentral lists this ribosomal RNA (467 nucleotides) under uncultured bacterium. Its description in RNAcentral is "partial 16S ribosomal RNA". It matches the Rfam family "Bacterial small subunit ribosomal RNA", at positions 28 to 507 of the family's 1533-position model. The record is from RNAcentral.